This 454-nucleotide long non-coding RNA is filed under the name Monodelphis domestica (gray short-tailed opossum). RNAcentral's name for it is "lncRNA (ENSMODG00000046033.1)". Lineage: Eukaryota; Metazoa; Chordata; Mammalia; Didelphimorphia; Didelphidae. The record is from RNAcentral.
AGGUCAAAGGGGACGCAGUGGGGGAUGAAGAGCAGAGCUCUGAAUUCCAACUGACCUUCCACAGAGAAAUGCUUUACUGCCAAGUGAUCUUCCCAAUCAUUGAUGUAAGAUAACCUUGAUACCCCUGCCAAUAGGCUCACCAUGGUCAGCAGAGACUGUGAAAGAGCCAACAGCAGAAGUCUCCCAGACAUAUUAUUCAUCAUCAUUGUGCUUAGUGAUCACAACAACUUUCUCUUCUACUAGUCUCCUUUGCUGGCUUUUAGAAAAUCUGUAUCAUAACUCUUCACAGUGGAUAUACCCCAAUGUCUGUCACCGGCCGUCUUCCUUCUGCAUUCUCUCACUUGAAUUAGCAUCAAGGUCAAGUGGGCACUCUGAUGAUGACAUCCCAGGCAAACUACGAAAACUGAGACAAACUUUUGAGGAAAAAAUUGACAAAAACCAAAGCCGACGAUAA